This 375-nucleotide ribosomal RNA is filed under the name uncultured bacterium. RNAcentral's name for it is "bacterial SSU rRNA". It matches the Rfam family "Bacterial small subunit ribosomal RNA", at positions 28 to 405 of the family's 1533-position model. The record is from RNAcentral.
GAUGAACGCUAGCGGCAGGCUUAACACAUGCAAGUCGAGGGGUAUAGUUCUUCGGAAUUAGAGACCGGCGCACGGGUGCGUAACGCGUAUGCAAUCUACCUUUCACAGAGGGAUAGCCCCAGAGAAAUUUGGAUUAAUACCUCAUAGUAUAGCAGUUUCGCAUGAAACCACUAUUAAAGUCACAACGGCAAAAGAUGAGCAUGCGUCCCAUUAGCUAGUUGGUAAGGUAACGGCUUACCAAGGCUACGAUGGGUAGGGGUCCUGAGAGGGAGAUCCCCCCACACUGGUACUGAGACACGGACCAGACUCCUACGGGAGGCAGCAGUGAGGAAUAUUGGACAAUGGCGCAAGCCUGAUCCAGCCAUGCCGCGUGCA